This is a long non-coding RNA of Anneissia japonica, 737 nucleotides long. RefSeq lists it as uncharacterized. The record is from RefSeq and is a predicted model, not a curated record. Lineage: Eukaryota; Metazoa; Echinodermata; Crinoidea; Comatulida; Comatulidae. The transcript has 2 exons.
ACUUGGAUAAAUUCACAAACUUUGAGGGAUGACUUCACAUUAAGGAAUGUGUAAGUAAGCUGCAGAGAAAAUGGAUUUGCUUGGAAUUUCUAGUGAUUAUUUGGUGUUGAUGUAACUGAUUCGGCUUCAAACUGUUACAGCUCAUAGAUACCAUGUAUUAGCCGCUAUAAUUGUCCUCAAGAAUGUGAAGUAACUACAGCAAAUUAGUCAAAGUGGACAGGUUACCUAUUUUGUACAAGGAUAUUUACUGCAGUUGAGUCAAGAUGGAACAGUACAUCAAUUUCUAGCGACAAAUUAGUUGAGAUAGAUUAGUAGUGAAUGAAUUUUUACUACGUUUAAGUCAAGAUAGACAAGUACACAAUAACCAGAGAUCUAGCAAGUACACGGAUAGGUAUUACUACAAAUGACCAGUACACAAAUAGCUACAAUUAUUUUAUUUACAAAUUACAGGUAUUAAUAAUUAAUUAAUACUGUAUCAUUCUUAGACUAACAUCCCAUUACUGUGCAGAGGUCUCACUCGAAUUCAUGUCAUCUGGCAGUGUCUCUGUCAUUCCUGUUUUAUUUCAGUUUUUUUCUCUUGGUCUUCCCUUCUUUACUUCAAGGUUUUAUUGUGUUGUUACUUUAUGUAUAUCAAAGAUUAAACACCAAUAAAAAGUAUUCUCAAUUGUUAUCUACUGCCCUCAUCAAGAGCUUUUGAUAGAGGGAAGUAGAUACGAUUUUAGACCACUGAACGAUCA